UUUCCGUAGGUGAACCUGCGGAAGGAUCAUUAUUGGAUUUUGAAACUUCAGGCUGCUGCUGGCUCUCCUCGGAGGGCAUGUGCACGCUUGUUGUCCAUUAUUUCUCCCACUGUGCACAAAUUGUAGACCUUUCAGUAGGCCUAUGUUGUUCUUCACAAUCUCUGAAUGUAAUAGAAUGGUUUUGAAUCUUGGGAAGUACAAUACAACUUUCAGCAACGGAUCUCUUGGCUCUC
This 233-nucleotide unclassified non-coding RNA is filed under the name plant metagenome. RNAcentral's name for it is "partial contains small subunit ribosomal RNA, internal transcribed spacer 1, and 5.8S ribosomal RNA". The record is from RNAcentral.